Molecule: long non-coding RNA, 649 nt
Filed under: Citrus sinensis (sweet orange)
Lineage: Eukaryota; Viridiplantae; Streptophyta; Magnoliopsida; Sapindales; Rutaceae
Description: long non-coding RNA (CSIN_LNC005225)
Source: RNAcentral
CCCAGUUCAGUCAACGCUUUGACGUGCUUGAUAGCCUCAAACUCGGAGAAUCCUCUUUUGCCGGCCUGGUCAGCGGUGAGAGGAGGAGGCAUAUGCUCGUAUUGAUAGUAGUAAACGCCGUAAGUGGCGUAGACGAAGGCCGCAAACUCAACCAUGGUCAGCGGUGAGAGGAGGAGGCAUAUGCUCGUAUUGAUAGUAGUAAACGCCGUAAGUGGCGUAGACGAAGGCCGCAAACGCAACCGUCCAUGCGAGCCCCGAUCGCUUGGCGCUUCUCACGUCAACUGUCAAUACUGCAUCGCCAUCGGUGAAGGAUGGAUGGUGGCUGUUGGUGGAGAGACGGAGGGAGGAGGUGCUGAUUCUGAAACUUGUCGCGAAUUCGCGAUUUAGGGUUGGCCGGUUGGGUUUGGGGGAAAUUGGGCAAAGGAAAAUGUAAUUUUUGUUUUUAUAUUUUCCUUUUUUUUUUUACUUAAUAAAAAAGCGGGCACGGGUCCGGGUUCCGGGUUUUUGGUGUUGUGACCGGACCCGUGCCCGGAAACAGCCGGGUAUUGAAAAUCAAUGCCCGGAACCGCUUUUUUUAUGCAUCCGGUCCGGGUUUUACCCGGACCGGAUGUGCCGGGUCCGGUCCGGGCGGGCUUUUCUGCCAUCUCUA